RNAcentral lists this ribosomal RNA (253 nucleotides) under uncultured bacterium. RNAcentral's name for it is "partial 16S ribosomal RNA". It matches the Rfam family "Bacterial small subunit ribosomal RNA", at positions 524 to 776 of the family's 1533-position model. The record is from RNAcentral.
CACGUAGGAGGCGAGCGUUAUCCGGAUUCACUGGGCGUAAAGCGCGUGCAGGCGGUUUGGUAAGUUGGGCGUGAAAGCUCCCGGCUCAACUGGGAGAGGUCGUUCAAUACUACCAGACUAGAGAGCAGAAGGGGAAGAUGGAAUUCCGGGUGUAGUGGUGAAAUGCGUAGAUAUCCGGAGGAACACCAGUGGCGAAGGCGAUCUUCUGGUCUGUUUCUGACGCUCAGACGCGACAGCUAGGGUAGUAAACGGG